Molecule: ribosomal RNA, 254 nt
Filed under: uncultured bacterium
Lineage: Bacteria
Description: partial 16S ribosomal RNA
Rfam family: Bacterial small subunit ribosomal RNA
Source: RNAcentral
UACGUAGGGGGCUAGCGUUGUCCGGAAUCAUUGGGCGUAAAGCGCGUGUAGGCGGUCCGGUAAGUCCGCUGUGAAAGUCGGGGGCUCAACCCUCGGAUGCCGGUGGAUACUGUCGGGCUUGAGUACGGAAGAGGCGAGUGGAAUUCCUGGUGUAGCGGUGAAAUGCGCAGAUAUCAGGAGGAACACCAAUUGCGAAGGCAGCUCGCUGGGACGUUACUGACACUGAGGCGCGAAAGCGUGGGGAGCGAACAGGA